This 468-nucleotide ribosomal RNA is filed under the name uncultured bacterium. RNAcentral describes it as "partial 16S ribosomal RNA". It matches the Rfam family "Bacterial small subunit ribosomal RNA", at positions 28 to 507 of the family's 1533-position model. The record is from RNAcentral.
GACGAACGCUGGCGGCGUGCUUAACACAUGCAAGUCGAACGGAAAGGCCCUGCUUUUGUGGGGUGCUCGAGUGGCGAACGGGUGAGUAACACGUGAGUAACCUGCCCUUGACUUUGGGAUAACUUCAGGAAACUGGGGCUAAUACCGGAUAGGAGCUCCUGCUGCAUGGUGGGGGUUGGAAAGUUUCGGCGGUUGGGGAUGGACUCGCGGCUUCGCAGCUUGUUGGUGGGGUAGUGGCUUACCAAGGCUUUGACGGGUAGCCGGCCUGAGAGGGUGACCGGCCACAUUGGCACUGAGAUAAGGCCCAGACUACUACGGGAGGCAGCAGUGGGGAAUAUUGCACAAUGGGCGGAAGCCUGAUGCAGCAACGCCGCGUGCGGGAUGACGGCCUUCGGGUUGUAAACCGCUUUCGCCUGUGACGAAGCGUGAGUGACGGUAAUGGGUAAAGAAGCACCGGCUAACUACGUG